Rattus norvegicus (Norway rat) is the source of this 3365-nucleotide non-coding RNA. NCBI's taxonomy places the organism in Eukaryota, Metazoa, Chordata, Mammalia, Rodentia, Muridae. The record is from RefSeq and is a predicted model, not a curated record.
GACCCCAGCACAGCAACCCCAUCUGUUCCCGAGCUUCUGACCUUCCGUAGGGCUCAACACAGAAGGAACGGUGAAACAAGAGGAGGACUUUGGGGUUCAACCAAGUCAAAGAGAAGCAGGCUUGGGAACAAGGGUUUCCUUUGCUGUGAAGAGACACCAUGACCAAGGCAACUCUUAUAAAGGACAACAUUUAAUUGAAGCUGGCUCACAGUUUCAGAGGCUCAGUCAUUAUCAUCAUGGCCGAAAACAUGGCAGUGUCCUGGCAGGCAUGGUGCUGGAGAAGGAACGAAAGUUUCUACAUCUGGAUCCAAGGCAAGCAGGAGAGUCUCAAAGCCCACCCCCACAGUGACACACUUCCUCCAACAAGGCCACACCUAAUACUGCCACUCCGUAGGCCAAGCAUAUUCAAACCACCACAUAGUGGCAUGGCAGUACGGAGGUGGGGGGUGGGGGCAUGACCAACUACUUGUUUGUUUGUUUUUGCUUUUAGGUGAAGCUUGCUCCACAGGAAGGAUUCCCUGCCGGGUACUAUAAACCUGUCCCAGGUCCAUGACUAAGAGAAGACUGUGGGGCCUGUGGUAGACUCUACUGCUGUCAUUUCGUUAAACAGCCAUGCUGUCAAAAGAACUGCAUUUUAGUAUUUGAGGUUAUAUCCUUAGAUGUGUACUAUGCUCAACUCGUGCUGGCUGUAAAUAACAGUGCUUAGCUGUGGAUGGAUCGUCUAGAUCAACCCCCACCACCCAUGGCUCAGGACACAUCAUGGAAUAGAGGGUAGAAGAGCCCUGAAAUGCCACGUUUUGAUCAUCUCACAAAAGCUGUGGAUGUCUGCACAGGAGCCAGCCAGUCAAAAUGUCGUCAUUGAAAGGUCCCACCCCGACCAGAGGAGCUGUUGGCAGUUGAUAGAUAGAUACUGAAAGAGGGGGAGAUAGCCACUCUCCUCUGGGGACAUGGCUGCUAGUACCUUUUUUUUUUUUCCAAAACCUACUUUUAAUGAUGGUUCUUAAACGAUUAAACCUCCCUUGUAGCCCACCACCCACCAGAGGUAUUGGAAAAGAAAGAACACUGAGGAAGUGGACCUGUUUAGAAAGGGUCUUUAGAGCAACCCCCAUCGGUUGUCUGGAAAUCAGCAGGUCAGUCCACAAGUCGGCUGUUACAGCUCAAUCCAUUUGCGAGCACUUCACAGAUACACCAGCAGUCCAGUUCAGUAGAGUCGGGAUAGCAAACAGAGAUCAGUCAGCAGUGGUGGCACGACCUAGCAGAGACAGCCAGGCCCCAGCCUUGGCACAGGUCAGCAGGAGGGACCAGGAGGAGUGCCAGGAGAAGUUUUCUACUGUACCUUUCUUAGCAAGGCAAAGAUCAGAAGAUGGGGGAAGUCACAAGAGCAACAAGAGUUGCACGGCUAGUUCUAUAAGCAAGCCAAGCUCAGCCCCCAUCACUGUCCGUGCAGUCCUAUUGAGAUCCUUCCAAAUACCAUGUGUCCUCCACAGGUCUUACCUCAGUAUGUGAUCUGUCUUAGAGGACAUCAUUCUCACAAUCAGCCACAUCUGAGGAAGCUGUAAGAAACUGCAGCACACCACCAGAAGAUUUUUGGUGCAUUUCUCUGUAUGGAGUCCCAACAAAUACAGCUCAACUACACAAUGUAAGGCGGACCAACACAUGCAAAGAAUCCUGUGUCACGUGUCCUUUCACGUGCUUGCUUUAGCAGAACGUCCUUUCGCCUGUGUCUGCUUCAGGAAAACCCUCCUUCCCGUGUUUGCCCCAGCAAAACGCCAUCCAACACAACCGACUUUCCAAAGAACCCUCAAGUUUCCACUUCAGCUGCUGGUAGCUUGCUCAUGCCCCAGUGGAAGGUCACACACCUAGGCGAGUGUGGGCAGCGCAAGCCAGACUCAGAAUUCUGACAACAAAAUCUGAAUAAAAGGAAGACAGGAAGCUGGGAGGGACAUGGGGUGGAGGCACUAUGGGGACUGGGAGGCAGUGGUGGGUAAAAAUGAUCAAUGUGCUCUGGAUAAAUGCAUCCCCUCCCCCAAGACAGGCCCUCACUGGGUAAUCCUGGCUGCCCUGGAAUCCACUGUGUAGACCAGGCUAGCCUCAAGCUUGCAUUGAUCCACCUGCCUUUGUCUCCCAGGUGCUGGGGUUGAAGAUUGUGCCACCACAAUGAGUUAGUGAAUGAUCUUUCUAAUAACAAGAAAAUAUUAAUUAAAAAUAUAAUCUAGGGGGCCAGAGAGAUGGCCCAAUGGUUAAGAGCCCUUGCUGCUCUUGCAGGGGGCCUGGAUUCAGUUCCCAGAAUGCAUAGUACCACUCGCAAUCAUCUAUAGCUCCAGUUCCUGGAGGAUCUGACACCAUCUUCUGGCCUUGAGAGCACCAGACAUCCAUGUUUUACUUACAUACAUGCAAAUACUCAUACAUUAUAAAAUAAAAAGAAAAUAAAUAAAUCUUAAAAAAAAAAAAAAAGUCUAGGAGCCAGAUGUGGUGCUACAUGCCUUUAAUCCCAACGCCCAGAGAGCGGAGGCAGCUGGAUCUCUGAAUUGGAGGUCAGCUUGGUCUACAGUGUAUUUUUUUUUUUGAAGAUUUAUUUAUUGUAUGUAUGUGAGUACACUGUCGCUGUCUUCAGACACACCAGAAGAGGGCAUUGGAUGUGCAUUACAGACAGUUGUGAGCCACCAUGUAGUUGCUGGGAUUUGAACUCAGGACCUCUGGAAGAGCUGUAAGUGCUCUUAACCACUGAGCCAUCUCUCCAGCCCUACAAUGUAAUUAUAUAUAAUAAAUAAAUCUUUUUUUAACAUCUGGGCAGGAAGAUGAAGUGAAAACCUCUAGUUUCAUUGGAAAGUCAGUUAUGUCAAAUGAUGUUGUGCUGAAGCAGACACAGGGGAAAGGAUGUUUGGAUACAGCAAACACUUGAAAGGACCUGUGUUGAAGGAACAUAACUGACCCCACAGACAGUGGGAGACGAGCACUGAGCCUUGGUUUGGUUUGCUCCACCUCACUUUUCUUCGAAUUACCUUACAUAGCUAAACUCGUGGUAAUGCUGCCUUUUGAGAGAGAAACUCACCCAAGAACUGGUCAUGAGGUUCCUGUGGCCAUUCGCCGAUUCCACAGCCUUGUCCUAGGCCAGUUGUCGAGCCUGGCAGUUUCUUCAGGAUUGACCUACAGCCGCCUGGUGUCUGCUGCUGAAAGGACUGGACUGUAGCUGCUGGUUUGUGCCAGUUUUCUGAGGACUGGUCUGCAGCUGCUGACUAAGAAGAUGGAGCUCGCCCCCACAAAGCUAUGGCUGAACAGGUCCACUUCCCCCACAUCCUAAUAACUUUCCUCUUCCACUGCCUCAGCUGGAUGGUUGAACCCUUAUUAAAAGUAGAUUGCAAAAA